Molecule: ribosomal RNA, 468 nt
Filed under: uncultured bacterium
Lineage: Bacteria
Description: partial 16S ribosomal RNA
Rfam family: Bacterial small subunit ribosomal RNA
Source: RNAcentral
GACGAACGCUGGCGGCGUGCUUAACACAUGCAAGUCGAACGGAAAGGCCCUGCUUUUGUGGGGUGCUCGAGUGGCGAACGGGUGCGUAACACGUGAGUAACCUGCCCUUGACUUUGGGAUAACUUCAGGAAACUGGGGCUACUACCGGAUAGGAUCUCCUGCUGCAUGGAGGGGGUUGGAAAGUUUCGGCGGUUGGGGAUGGACUCGCGGCUUAUCAGCUUGUUGGUGGGGUAGUGGCUUACCAAGGCUUUGACGGGUAGCCGGCCUGAGAGGGUGACCGGCCACAUUGGUACUGCGAGACGGCGCAGACUCCUACGGGAGGCAGCAGUGGGGAAUAUGGCACAAUGGGCGGAAGCCUGAUGCAGCAACGCCGCGUGCGGGAUGCCGGCCUUCGGGUUGUAAACCGCUUUCGCCUGUGACGAAGCGUGAGUGACGGUAAUGGGUAAAGAAGCACCGGCUAACUACGUG